AGAAAUUUAGGUUAUUUAUAAACCGAAGGCUUUCAAAGCCUUAAAUAUGCUAGACAUAAUUUCUG
Molecule: transfer RNA, 65 nt
Filed under: Chatogekko amazonicus
Lineage: Eukaryota; Metazoa; Chordata; Lepidosauria; Squamata; Sphaerodactylidae
Description: tRNA-Trp
Source: RNAcentral